UUGGUCUAACGGCUAGGAUACAUGACUGUCUAUCAUGGGGUACGGGUUCGAUUCCCGCUCCCGCAA
This 66-nucleotide transfer RNA is filed under the name Caudoviricetes sp. Its description in RNAcentral is "tRNA-Asp". The stretch from base 2 to 58 matches the Rfam family "tRNA", at positions 8 to 63 of the family's 71-position model. Rfam says of the family: Transfer RNA (tRNA) molecules are approximately 80 nucleotides in length. Their secondary structure includes four short double-helical elements and three loops (D, anti-codon, and T loops). The record is from RNAcentral. Lineage: Duplodnaviria; Heunggongvirae; Uroviricota; Caudoviricetes.